Molecule: long non-coding RNA, 6696 nt
Organism: Monomorium pharaonis (pharaoh ant)
Lineage: Eukaryota; Metazoa; Arthropoda; Insecta; Hymenoptera; Formicidae
Exons: 2
Source: RefSeq, a predicted model, not a curated record
GUGCUCCAUCUCUCUCUUUUUCAUAAUUUCUGUAAUUUAUGAUUUAUAUCUCGAGAUUACACCCUUGCCGCCUAUGCUGCUCUUGGCACUCUCUCUCUGUACGCCGGGCGAUUCGAGAAAAUUCACGAGUUCACGAGUUCGACGUGCUCUGCCCGUGUGUAGUAUCUCAGGCACGUAAUAAGGUAAAAGCGAUGAUCUAGCCGUGAGAACGAACCACCAACGGCAGUGUAAGUGCGGCGUUUCUCUCACUCUUUCGAGCCGAAAUCGCCGGGUAAUUUCGUCGUCACGGACGCGCGAGUCCCGCGUGCACGCGCAUCCGUGAAACUUCACCGUGCAAUUCAGCGGGGUUGAAGGUGCCGUGGAAACCGCCACGUGCUCGCGCGCAAAGUGCGCGGCACAUACCAUCACUGCCCCUCGGCAUCGAACGCGCGCGCGGUUGUAUAUCGCGUUCAACGUUGCCCCCGCCACCGUCGCCGACGUCUUAUCGCAUUUCCGCUCACGUCUUCCUCUUCCUUUCCCCCCUUCCUCCUCCUUUCCACCGUCCGUAUGCAACGUACGCGUACGUUUCCACCUUUCUUGCGUCGUCGCAGGGCCGAUCCUACUCGCAGGGCCGGUACUUACGACACUUAAGGGCCCCUCCUCGAUGUCCCGUGAGUGUAUCUUAUCUCCAAUAACGGGGCUUUGGGGCUGCCAAUUUAGAUUCGGGAACCGCGUGUAAUCCCGAUAUCGUCCCGCAUCAGUUAUUUCCUCGCCCUCUUUUCUGCCCUCACCCUCCCCCACUCCCGCAAACGCGAAAAAUAACGGGUCAGUGCCUCGACCGACUGUGCCUCCUCGCAAUAUCGCAAUUUUAUUUCCGCGGGUCAAAGAGGCAUCCAUCGACGCUGUUGAGAGAAAGAGAGAGAGAGAGUCAUCAAUAUAUUCGUGAUGCGUGGCGCGUGUUUUUCUUUCCGCGUGUCACGCGGCCACGCACCGGCUCGCGACAAAAAUAAAUUCGAAGGAAUCGCUGGGCCGAGCAAGCGGGCAAGGGAGGCGCGAUGGAAAAAAGGGAAACGGGACGAGGAAAAAAAAAAUACGCUUCGGACGCGCGAGGUGAGCUUCUCGCGUGCGAAUAGGGCGACGUCAAAUAUUUGCGCGUAACGGUUGCGUGUCGCGAUGCGAAAACGCGGUCGCGCGCGAAUUUCCACGGUGUGUACUCGAUAUAAACGGAAAACAAAAAAAAAAUAUGGAGAGAGAUAAAAAGAAAAAUCGCAAGGCCUGGUAAACCUAUCCAUCGACCGGCACAACCCGGCGGAAGUAUUAGGAUUUGAAAACUAUAUGCCCGCCGCGACGAAUCAUGAAUAUGAAAGUCACGUGUAAAAACAAAAAGGAAAAAAAAAAAGAGUAAAUGUCGCGACGGUCGAGGUAACAAUCGCGUACGAACAACCGCGUUCGUGAUGUGCCGUGUCCCCCGUCGCCGAGUCGCAAACGAUUCGAGGAAAAAAAAAGGAAGCAAACGAAAUGGGAAAGAAACAUUUGACGUAACACACACGCGCGCGUAUUGCUUACAGCGGGCCAAUGAAAAAUGCAAGGUGCGCACGCAAAGAUAAGAACGUUCGGUUUCGGACGAUACGCCGAGCGAUAAGGCUGAAUUCACGGUCGUAAAAUUCGCGGGACAACAACGCGCAUAGCCACCGUGUAACCCUCCCGCCGAAUCGCGCCGGAAAUUUAUGCGUUCGACGAAUCGAAUCGAAUGAUUGCAUCUCGAGAGCUACGAUCAACUUUUCCUCUAUGCGGGCGAAGUGCACCUUUUCGCGCGAUCGCGAGUAUUCGAGAAAACUCUCGAAAGUACGCGGAUCGCGUACAGUAAAGGCGCACUGUGUUUCAUUCAAUAUUCGUAUGAAGUCCCCGUAGUAGAUAAACGCGGUAAUUGCGUCGAUAUUAGCGUUUAUGAGAAAAACGUAAUAUCGCACGUGUAUAACACAGUGCGUUAUAAAUUGACGUUUAUUAACUUGGCCGUAAAAAAUUAAUUUUACAUGCGCUGCGCAACGCCACAAAAAAAAGUCAAGCUAUACUGUAAACAUCGUUCAAGAAGAAUCAAUACAAUUCCUUACAUAAUACAGCAGUAAAUUCGAUCAAUUAAAUAAAAUUAAGGAGAAUUUGACGCGCGUAACCUCAGGAUUCGGUCGAGUUGUCAAUUCAAUAUAACAGUAAAGUAAUAAAUAUUUGUUCCCAAUGCGGCAAAUGCGAUUCGGGUUUAACUUUCCGGCUGCAUUGAAUUAUUCAUUCGGGAAUAGGAACGGGGAGUCCUUCGCGACGGACCGGAGGUGCAUCGUCGCGCCGCGCGUCGCCGCGCGGCGUCGACGUCGUGGAAAGUACCGGAAAGUGCAAGCUGGAAAUGCACCGUUUCGGAACGUCCGAUUGUCGCAAGGUGCGCAGAUCCGAGCGCGUGCACGAGCGCGUCUCGUCUUGCGGUCUUACGUAACGCGAUACGCAACGCGCGAGAGGAACGGGGCGUUUCUGCCGCGAACGGAAAUCGUAUCCGCGCGUUACACGCGCGCGUUGCGUAAGAACCGUAAGGAACCGGACGACGACAAUGUAAUCGUAUCGGCGCGGAAGCAUCGGCGAGUGUUGUUACACGCGUAUACAAACUUGAAGCGUUUUCGCGAUCUUUGAUUUUGGUCUUUUCAUUGUCGCGUACACCGAGAUAAAAAAAUAGUUGCGGUAACUUUAAUAUUGUUAUAAUUUAUAAUUAUUUCUGGACCCAACCAUAUUUUAAUGAUUAUUCAACAAUAUGAAGUGUAGUUGGUUCAAACUACAUUAAAGUUCUCAUAAUCGUAAUAAUGGUCUAUGUAACUUAUGAUAUGGUUGCUAUAAACAAAAUGCAUAUUUUAAUAUAAUAAGUUGUACCGUAAAACAAACAUUAUAAGCAUUUGCUACAAGUACAUAAUUAUUAUUAGCAAUAUUAUAAUAAUAACACAUUUUUCUAUCGGUGUAGGACAAAGUGGAUCCACAACUCAUCUCAAAUAUAUAUUUGUUUCUUCUGAAGAAUUUUAGACAUUAUUUUUAAAAAGAGAAGGAAAGAUUUUAUUCUAUAUUCAAAGAUUGUGUAUAACGAGAGAGCAAUCGAGACACUUUUUAUGCGCACGAACGUUCGUAUGCGAGCAAACUUGUUCUCUCCAAGCGUGAAGCUUAAGCAGCGCACACACGUGGAUAUCCCGUAAUUCAAUUUUUAUUUACUACAAAUAUGCCGUAGAAAUUGUUGGAAAGAUUUCGACAAUAUUAUAAGAGAUAAUUUUUAAUUACUUAAUAUUUCAGGUGUCAUUACAAAAUUAAUAUCUACUUCUCGCGAAUAUCGUCGGUCACUCGAUGCCCGGAAGCGUUCACGGCGGAAAUCCGCGCGGCGAUCUGACUCGCGGCAGGACGGAUCGCAAUCGCGCGAUAUUUAUACGAUCUGUUAUUAAGACACACGCGCGCUCGCGUAAUUCGGACGUAAUGCGAACGAAGUCACGCUUCAGCGAGUACGCGCGCUGGCCAUUCAUGAAGACCAGGCCCGAGGCGCAUUCUUCUACAGCAAGCGGAGCUCAGCUCCGCUCGGCUCGGUUGCACGCGUAUGGGAGUGCGCGCCGGCCCGGCCGGCCGGCCGGUCGGUCGGUCGGUUCACUCGAUUUCAUUCAUUUGCCGGAUAAUCGUCGUGUUCCUGUUGCAGCCCAGGGACGUGCCAACAAGCCAGUUGCUUGCGCUCAAGGUCCCGGGUUCCGGGUUGCGCUUGUCGGAUCGUGGAGCACCGCCGCUCGUUAUUGUCUUCCUGCUGCUGCUGCUGCUGCAUCGUCGCUUCUCUAAGCGAUGUUUAUCCGUGCAAAGUUGCUGAAUCGCCCGGCGUUACGAAAUGACAUGGAAUUCUCUCGUCAGCCUCUCGUGACGAUGCGAGCAAGUCAUCGAGUUGCUCCGCUGAGAUUUUACGAGGCUAUUAAGCCGAGACGUUUCUAGAGUUCUCCGCGUUCGUCGCGCGUCCCAGAUGAGCUUAAACUAUUCUCUACGUAUAUUCUCCACGCAGUGAUUAUAUUAUGUCUUAAAUCUUGCUUGAAAAUCCCCGAGUGGGCUACACCGCGGGAAUUCAAAUCAUAAUAUUUAUACGAGCAAGCAGGCUGCAUUAUGUCGCAUCGUGCGGGAUAUGAAAAUGUUUCUCGUGUUCUUCGCGAGCUGAGAAUAAAAAAUAAUUUUCAUUAUAAAAGUUAAUUAAUACGUUAAUCAACCUAAAAUCCAACCGUCAAAUAUAUUCCAUAUUUUUAUCCAAUUCUUUUACAAUUUUCUUAUUUUUUUUUUUUUGCCACCAACUGAUCUGACUGAUCGUUUUGUGUUACGUAGUAAAAUUCGUCCUUCUUCCGUCGCAAAGGAGACCGACGGCAGAAUUCCAUUUUUGUCGCGAUGCAUGGCCACACAUGGCCACGAAAUUAACCGACUCUGCGCGCGCGGAGCGAUGCGUGCACGGCGCACGUGUGCACGUACACGCGGCGAGAAGGGGAAGGAGGGAGGGGAGGAAGGGGUUAGAGGGGAGAGGGGAGAGGGGGAGGGGGGAUCGUGCCAGCAUUACCAGUAUAUUACCGCGUAUGCCGGCUCGGCCACGGUCAUCUCGAGACCUUCUUGCGCAGCCACUCACACGCACCGUACGCGUCCGCGAGGCGGAUUACGCAACGGCGCGCGGCGCAGCGGUGCAAUUGCGAGCGUCGCGCGUAGACUGCAACGCAACGGCGGCGCGGUGACCGGCGAGUUCCAAUAGAGAAUCUACACCCGCCACACUCGCCUUCCCCGCGCGGCAAACCUUAAUAGAUCUCUUUCUCUCUCUCUCUCUCUCUCUCUCUCGCCAUUCAUAAACGCGGGAAUAAUCUAUCGGAUUGAAUGAAAUUUCGCGAUUGUAGAAACGUCAUAUCCGCGUGACGUAUUUUCAUAACUUGUUAUUCAUAUCUGACGGAAGGUAGGAGCGUUCUAAACCCUCGGGUAACCGCGACGCGGUCAUUUUUCAAAGGCGAUAAGGGCGGAACAAUUGAAGCGUACGUAUCAUUAUUCGGCGAAGGUGCAACGUAUUACAGAUAUACGUUGGGAACGGUCGCCUCAAGCGGUUCCUAUUUCGGAGAGAAAUGUCGGAUUGAUAAAAGUAACUUGUCCGGGAGAGGAAACGAUUAAUUUAUCGUCGACGAUUUGGCCGAUUGCACGCGACGAAUACAAGAAACGCGCGGGAGAUAUCGGGAGUUUUUAUCGCGCUGUGUGAAUUCAUUUGCAAAAAUUGGAUUUUCUUCCCCCUUUCCCCCCCCCCUCCUCGAGCAAUUCCGAAAGUCAGCCGGGAACCCCGACGACGAUAAAAAAUAAAAGUGUUCUAAAUGCGCCGAGCGCCAAAGAGACGACGCGCGACGGUUCCGUCGAGAGGUGAUGUCGAGCGUUAUAGUGGAAUAUAACGGCGUGCGAUCAUGCAGCAAACCUGAAAUGCGAUUAUCGAUUAUUGGCGCGCACUUAUCAGAGAGCAACCGAGCUCUUGACUCUCAUCGACGCGGUUCCCAUCCAGGUCUCUCUCUCUCUCUCUCGCGCGCGCGCGCGCGAAAACAUACAUGGCGAAUGCCGCUGCUUGUCGCUUAUGUAAUUCAGAGCGUAGUAUCGCUCUCUCGUGAUUUAACGAUGUUGAUACCAACGCGCCGUCCAGUAUUAAUCAAACGUUCUUUUAACUCGGCGAUCGAUUAAACGGCGACGCUGCAUAAUCCGUUGGAUUUAACAGCUUCUCGUUAAACAUCUGUAUCGAUUUGGAUUCCUAAAUACAGUUUAGUUUUAUUUAAAUUGUGUUCUCACUUAAUUAAGGACAUCGUUGUUUUUACGCCGUGUAAAAACGACGAAGUUAUUUGAGGCAAAAAGGGGAAUUGAUAUAUGUGUAAAAAAAAUUUACAUUAAAAAAAUUAAAUAACACUUAGAGAAUUAGUGACUUUGUGUGCUGGUGACACGAAGAUAAUAAAAGACAUUAUUUGGACGUUGAAUUAUCUUCGUUAUAUCGCACUAACGAGGUACGAGCGAUGAAGCAGGAGCGAUGUGUCGCACGCGACAGCUAAAAAGGAAAGUUACCAUUGGCAUCUAUGGAUGUGUCACUUGACUCGCGCUAAUAAUCGAUCGGUUGCCGAUCGACCUUCGAACGUUGAAAUAUUGCGCACAACGUACCUGCGGCAGUCCAUUGCGUCCAAGGUCCCAACGAUUAGUGGGUCACAGUGUAUACGAUACAUCGUUUAGUUGAAGGCAAUUGUUUGCGGCACAAUUAAACGUGACGGAUCCAAUUAGCGCGAAAUUAAUAAAUUUCAAGUAUUUUGAUGACAACACGUAGAAUCCGAAAUAAUAAGCGGAGAGCACACGCGCAAAAAUAAUAUCAACGGUGCAACUCGUUGACAUCUAUGCCAAAUACAAUAUUUGCUUUUGAUUUGCAAAGAUACAAAUGCUUUGGCUCAUUCGUAUAUCAAUAAUUACAAGAAAUAAUGAAUUACAAGGAAGAUGAGAGAAAUACACGUUAAUUGAAAUUGUAAUUUGUAUUGACUUAGCGCACAUAGAGGCAAAUUGGGCAAAUAUUUGUCGAGUAAAGUUAAAAACAAAACCUCAGCAAAAUUGAUUGAAAUCGCAUUUCAACAUAUGUAUAAUUCUUUUAGUCUACAGAGAAAUCUUCCCUUUUACAUACAGAAAAUAGAAAAAAAA